Long non-coding RNA from Acanthisitta chloris (rifleman), 434 nucleotides. RefSeq lists it as uncharacterized. The transcript is spliced from 3 exons. Lineage: Eukaryota; Metazoa; Chordata; Aves; Passeriformes; Acanthisittidae. The record is from RefSeq and is a predicted model, not a curated record.
AGGGGUGGACCUUUGCUUAAGGGUGUAUUUUGAGAUUCAAGCUAUCAGAGUUCCCUGCUUGGUUCUGGCAUGGGCUAAAUAUAUGGAGCUGCUCUUUGAGUUCCUACAUCUUAAGAGCCAUCAUUUGAGAUGCUUCCGUUGACUGGGAAAACAAUAAUAUUUGAUAGCUUUCCUGAUCCUUCAGAUACCUGGGAAAUAAUUGAGACUAUUGGCAAAGGAACGUAUGGAAAAGUUUUCAAGGUGUUAAAUAAGAAAAAUGGCAGCAAAGCAGCAGUCAAAAUUUUGGAUCCUGUUCACGACAUUGAUGAAGAAAUUGAAGCUGAGUACAACAUUUUGAAAGCUCUCUCUGAUCAUCCCAAUGUAGUCAAAUUCUACGGCAUGUACUAUAAGAAAGAUGUGAAAAAUGGAGACCAGCUUUGGCUAGUUCUUGAGGU